CGGCGGACGGGUGAGUAAUGCAUAGGAAUCUGCCCGAUAGUGGGGGAUAACCUGGGGAAACCCAGGCUAAUACCGCAUACGUCCUACGGGAGAAAGGGGGCUUCGGCUCCCGCUAUUGGAUGAGCCUAUGUCGGAUUAGCUAGUUGGUGAGGUAACGGCUCACCAAGGCCACGAUCCGUAGCUGGUCUGAGAGGAUGAUCAGCCACAUCGGGACUGAGACACGGCCCGAACUCCUACGGGAGGCAGCAGUGGGGAAUAUUGGACAAUGGGGGCAACCCUGAUCCAGCCAUGCCGCGUGUGUGAAGAAGGCCCUCGGGUUGUAAAGCACUUUCAGCGAGGAAGAACGCCUAGCGGUUAAUACCCGCUAGGAAAGACAUCACUCGCAGAAGAAGCACCGGCUAACUCCGUGCCAGCAGCCGCGGUAAUACGGAGGGUGCAAGCGUUAAUCGGAAUUACUGGGCGUAAAGCGCGCGUAGGUGGCUUGAUAAGCCGGUUGUGAAAGCCCCGGGCUCAACCUGGGAACGGCAUCCGGAACUGUCAAGCUAGAGUGCAGGAGAGGAAGGUAGAAUUCCCGGUGUAGCGGUGAAAU
Molecule: ribosomal RNA, 589 nt
Filed under: uncultured Halomonas sp.
Lineage: Bacteria; Pseudomonadati; Pseudomonadota; Gammaproteobacteria; Oceanospirillales; Halomonadaceae
Description: bacterial SSU rRNA
Rfam family: Bacterial small subunit ribosomal RNA
Source: RNAcentral